GGCGCAAUCGUCCAGGGGUCAGGACAUCGGAUUUUCAGUCCGACAACGCGGGUUCGAUUCCCGCUUGCGCUUCCA
RNAcentral lists this transfer RNA (75 nucleotides) under Candidatus Latescibacterota bacterium. RNAcentral's name for it is "tRNA-Glu". It matches the Rfam family "tRNA". From Rfam's summary of the family: Transfer RNA (tRNA) molecules are approximately 80 nucleotides in length. Their secondary structure includes four short double-helical elements and three loops (D, anti-codon, and T loops). Lineage: Bacteria; Pseudomonadati; Candidatus Latescibacterota. The record is from RNAcentral.